CCUACGGGAGGCAGCAGUGAGGAAUAUUGGUCAAUGGACGCAAGGCUGAACCAGCCAAGUCGCGUGAGGGAUGACGGUCCUAUGGAUUGUAAACCUCUUUUGUCAGGGAGCAAAGGGCGCCACGUGUGGCGCUCUGAGAGUACCUGAAGAAAAAGCAUCGGCUAACUCCGUGCCAGCAGCCGCGGUAAUACGGAGGAUGCGAGCGUUAUCCGGAUUUAUUGGGUUUAAAGGGAGCGUAGAUGGGUUGUUAAGUCAGUUGUGAAAGUUUGCGGCUCAACCGUAAAAUUGCAAUUGAUACUGGGCGUCUUGAGUACAGUUGAGGUAGGCGGAAUGCGUGGUGUAGCGGUGAAAUGCUUAGAGAUCACGAAGAACACCGAUUGCGAAGGCAGCUUACUAAGCUGCCACUGACGUUGAUGCUCGAAAGUGUGGGUAUCAAACAGGAUUAGAUACCCGGGUAGUC
RNAcentral lists this ribosomal RNA (460 nucleotides) under uncultured bacterium. Its description in RNAcentral is "partial 16S ribosomal RNA". It matches the Rfam family "Bacterial small subunit ribosomal RNA", at positions 338 to 795 of the family's 1533-position model. The record is from RNAcentral.